GAAUGACAUCAUGCGGGCUCGUGUCGGGCUCCAUCUGCGACAUGACACCUUCAGACACUAAAGGUGUAGAGUGAUGCAGCAGAAGGUGUGUUCCAGAGGUUCCGGUUCUUUCCUCUCGGAGAGGAGCGGCCAGCCCUGUGGCACCACCACCUCCUGCGACCUCCCCUUCCGCUGCCCCCGCUGUGGCGAGCACGAGCGCUUCCGCAGCCUGGCCUCGCUCCGCGCCCACCUGGAGUACCGCCACUCGUACCGCUCGCCAGACGUGACCCCCGGCGGCUUCAGCAUCACCGGCAAACUCCCCGACCCGUUGACGGCGGCUAUCCCCUGGCACGACAUGAGCCUCCCGACCCGCGGGGGGCAGCAGAGUGCGUGGCGGCCGCCUCACGUCCGCUCCCUCAGCGAUAGCCGAGACAGCGGGUACCCUCACUCCUACGGCUCCGUGAGGAGACGCACCCAGAGCGUCGGGGUGGGGACGCAGGCUGAGGAGGAUGAUGACGAGGAUGAUGAUGACGAUGAAGUGGAUUUUGGGUCAGAAGAUGAAGACGAGGAGGAUGACGACUACGAAGGUGAAGAGAGAUAUGGUGGCAGAAACGAGGAGGAAAUCAAUAUGUUGUUAAAAAAGUCUGAGACAUGCCUCCAUCACCUCAACCACCGUCACCACCCGUUCCCUCCUUUAGCUCCUCUUCACCCAGAACUGGACCUGGACCUGGCCGAGCAGAACUCCUACUCCGGCUCGGAGACGGCCGCGGUGCGCCGACGUCUGGCCCGGAUCCUGCGGGCGGCCGACGGCACCAUGCAGCGCCGGCUGGCCAAGGUGAGCACGGAUCUGGCCCAGACGGACACGGAGCUCCUGUGCGAGCGCGCUCACUCGCAGCACCUGGCCCAGGAGAGGCAGGAGGUGGCGGACAGGGAGAGGUCACUGAGCCGCCAGGUGGACGUGGCCGUCAUGGUGAUCGCCGCACUGAGGGAGCAGCUCAACGCCUCGGAGAACGAGCUGGAGCGCCGGGAGAGGGAGGUGAUAACCAUCCAGAAGUUUCUGGAAGCGGCGGCUCGACAGGAGACGUGCGGGAAAGUUAGAAUCCAACGCUUCAUCGAGAAUCUGCUGAGACGCAUCGCCAUGGCCGAGAGACUGGUGGAGUAUUACCAGGUCAACGGCAGCCAGCAACAGUGCAGCCACUACAAGUACCAGCAGCCAACCGAUAAUGGACCUCACCGGAUCACUAAAAGCAGGCGAGUACCUCCACAUUCUCGCAGGUUCUUGUAACAUCAACAUGGGUCGAAGGUGGCCGGGUCACACCGUUAUCAAUGACGUCAAAUUCAAAAGGACAUUUUAAGAUUAACUUUUGACGGGUACAUUCUGUGGAGAACCUCAAGUGUUAAUAUUAUAUCUCCAUUCAACAGUUAAGAAGACGUAUGAAUGAAUGAAUCGGUUGCUUGGACAGACGGCCAAUCGGAUAGCUCGAUUGAGAGAAAGCUUUGUAGCGGUUAUUGGGGAAAAAAUAAAAACUAAUGGUAUUAUAUCAAAUGACCUGCAGUAAACUUAGUGUGUAUCAUGUGUUAGUGUCACACGUGACCUCUCAGGAUACUGAGCUGAGUUUAAUAUCAGGAUUCAUAUCGGGGGUAAUCCUCCACAAUGAAUAUUCUGCUAAAGAGUAGCUGGUACAAAUGUGACUCCUUAUUAUGACUUUGUGCAGUUUGAGUUCCUGUCGGUCACAAAAAUGGUUAUUUGUGGACACAUUUUUAAAUCUUUUUGGAGGUUAUCGCUGUGGUUUUGUUUUUAGAUUCAUUCGUCCCCGUUAUCGGCUUCACACAAGACAUUUCCCUGCAGGACUUUUAUUCUUCACUCAAGUUAUUUUUAAGUGCUGAAAGACGAGAAAAGGGGAGUUAGUGCUCCCACUCGCAGCGUAUUGCUCUGCCGGUGUCCUCCUCUGAACAGAUAAACUGCUGCUGCUGCCGCUUCAGUCUGAGGUCACUGAGAGAAAUUAGGAUCCUGUCAGCGGGAUGUCAGCUGUCCUCGUCCGGUUUCCACGACAACCGGAGACACUCCUCCUCCUCCUCGCAGUUCGCCGGCCGUCCUCUGUUC
This is an RNA transcript of Pseudoliparis swirei, 2083 nucleotides long. It is a transcript of the gene named zinc finger protein 365, with no coding region annotated. The record is from RefSeq and is a predicted model, not a curated record. The transcript has 6 exons. NCBI's taxonomy places the organism in Eukaryota, Metazoa, Chordata, Actinopteri, Perciformes, Liparidae.